RNAcentral lists this ribosomal RNA (252 nucleotides) under uncultured bacterium. RNAcentral's name for it is "partial 16S ribosomal RNA". It matches the Rfam family "Bacterial small subunit ribosomal RNA", at positions 524 to 775 of the family's 1533-position model. The record is from RNAcentral.
UACGAAGGGUGCAAGCGUUAUUCGGAAUGAUUGGGCGUACAGGGUGCGCAGGCGGUAUGUUAAGUCAACUGUUAAAGAUCCCAGCUUAACUGGGGAAAAGCGGUAGAUACUGGCGUACUAGAGGAUGGAAGAGAGAAGUGGAAUUCUUGGAGUAGCGGUAAAAUGCGUAGAUCUCAAGAGGAACACCGAUGGCGAAGGCAGCUUCUUGGUCCAUUCCUGACGCUCAUGCACGAAAGCGUGGGGAGCAAACAG